This 253-nucleotide ribosomal RNA is filed under the name uncultured bacterium. RNAcentral describes it as "partial 16S ribosomal RNA". It matches the Rfam family "Bacterial small subunit ribosomal RNA", at positions 524 to 776 of the family's 1533-position model. The record is from RNAcentral.
UACGUAGGCAGCGAGCGUUGUUCGGAGUUACUGGGCGUAAAGGGUGUGUAGGCGGUUGUUUAAGUUUGGUGUGAAAUCUCCCGGCUCAACCGGGAGGGUGCGCCGAAUACUGAAUGGCUCGAGUGCGGGAGAGGAGAGUGGAAUUCCUGGUGUAGCGGUGAAAUGCGUAGAUAUCAGGAGGAACACCGGUGGUGUAGACGGCUCUCUGGACCGUAACUGACGCUGAGACACGAAAGCGUGGGUAGCAAACAGG